Molecule: ribosomal RNA, 459 nt
Filed under: uncultured bacterium
Lineage: Bacteria
Description: bacterial SSU rRNA
Rfam family: Bacterial small subunit ribosomal RNA
Source: RNAcentral
ACGCUGGCGGCGUGCCUAACACAUGCAAGUCGAACGGAGAUAUGAUUUCGGUUGUAUCUUAGUGGCGAACGGGUGAGUAACGCGUGAACAACCUGACUCUAAGAGGGGGAUAACACUCGGAAACGGGUGCUAAUACCGCAUAAGACCACGACCUGGCAUCAGGAUGAGGUCAAAGGAGCAAUCCGCUGAGAGAGGGGUUCGCGUCCCAUUAGAUAGAUGGCGGGUAACGGCCCACCAUGUCAACGAUGGGUAGCCGAGCUGAGAGGCUGAUCGGCCACACUGGAACUGAGACACGGUCCAGACUCCUACGGGAGGCAGCAGUGGGGAAUAUUGGGCAAUGGGCGCAAGCCUGACCCAGCAACGCCGCGUGAGGGAAGAAGGCUUUCGGGUUGUAAACCUCUGUCCUUGGUGACGAAACAAAUGACGGUAGCCAAGGAGAAAGCCCCGGCUAACUACGUG